UCAAAGAUUAAGCCAUGCAUGUCUCAGUACAAACAAAACAAAAGUGAAACCGCGAAUGGCUCAUUAAAUCAGCUAUGAUUCAUUGGAUCUGUACACCCACGUUUUCCUUGGAUAACUGUGGUAAUUCUAGAGCUAAUACAUGCCCAUAUAGCCCCCUGACCUGACGGAAAGGGAGCGAUUAUUAGUAUCAAAAACGAUGACAGACUUUAAUGUUAAAUGUCUGUAAAAAAAUCAAUUGGUGACUCUAAAUAAUUUCGAGCUGAGCGCACGGUCUUUGCACUGGUGCCGUUUCUUUCAAGUGUCUGCCUUAUCAGCUCUCGAUUGUAGAUUAUGUGCCUACAAUGGCUAUAACGGGUAACGGGGAAUCAGGGUUCGAUUCCGGAGAGGGAGCCUGAGAAACAGCUACCACAUCCAAGGAAGGCAGCAGGCACGCAAAUUACCCACUCCCGGCAUGGGGAGGUAGUGACGAAAAAUAAUGAUGUGAGACUCAUCCGAGGCCUCGCAAUCAGAAUGAGUACACUUUAAAUCCUUUUGCGAGGAUCCAUUGGAGGGCAAGUCUGGUGCCAGCAGCCGCGGUAAUUCCAGCUCCAAUAGCAUAUAUUAAAGCUGUUGCGGUUAAAAAGCUCAUAGUUGUAUUACAGUUGUGGACUGAUGGUUCUUCACCUUAAUUGGUGUUUACUGUCACGCUCCUAAGCUGCUCAUACAACCAAAAAGUUGUUGGGCUCCACUAGCUCGCACGGGAUGCUCUUAACCGAGUGUCCCCAGUGGCUGGUAUGUUUACUUUGAAAAAAUUAGAGUGCUCAGAGCAGGCUACUUGUAUUGCCUGAAUGACUAUGCAUGGAAUAAUGGAAUAGGACCUCGGUUCUAUUUUGUCGGUUUUCUCUGGAAUCCGAGGUAAUGAUUAAAAGAGACAAAAGGGGGCAUUUGUACUGUGACGCUAGAGGUGAAAUUCUUGGACCGUCACAAGACAAACAACUGCGAAAGCAUUUGCCAAGGAUGUUUUCAUUAAUCAAGAACGAAAGUUAGAGGUUCGAAGGCGAUCAGAUACCGCCCUAGUUCUAACCAUAAACGAUGCUAACCAGCAAUCCGCCGGCGUUAUUCCCAUGACCCGGCGGGCAGCUUCCGGGAAACCAAAGUCUUUGAGCUCUGGGGGAAGUAUGGUUGCAAAGCUGAAACUUAAAGGAAUUGACGGAAGGGCACCACCAGGAGUGGAGCCUGCGGCUUAAUUUGACUCAACACGGGGAACCUCACCAGGCCCAGACACUGGAAGGAUUGACAGAUUGAGAGCUCUUUCUUGAUUCAGUGGGUGGUGGUGCAUGGCCGUUCUUAGUUGGU
Molecule: ribosomal RNA, 1335 nt
Filed under: Heteronida clivicola
Lineage: Eukaryota; Metazoa; Arthropoda; Malacostraca; Decapoda; Munididae
Description: SSU rRNA
Rfam family: Eukaryotic small subunit ribosomal RNA
Source: RNAcentral